GCCUGAACUCCACUGAUGGUCAGAGUGAAGUCUGAACGGGAUCCACUGCCUUUGAAGCGACCAGUGGGUCGAGUGCCUCCGUCGCUGAUUGUUGUACCCCCCUCCAGUGAAGAGCUGCAGCAGGGGAAGGCCACCCUCAUGUGUCUGGCCAACAAGGGCUUCCCCUCAGACUGGAGUCUGUCCUGGAAGGUGGACGACAGCAGCAGCAGCAGCAGCAGCUGGGAGCAGAGCAGGAGCCCCGGGGUGCUGCAGAAGGACGGCCUCUACAGCUGGAGCAGCACCCUGAGGCUCCCUGCAGACCAGUGGAGGAAGGUGGGCUCUGUGACCUGUGAGGCCUCCAAGGGCUCCCAGCCUGCAGUCACACAGACGCUGACCAGAGACCAGUGUUCCCAGUCCUGAGCUCGUUAACUACAUUAAUGUCUGC
This is a non-coding RNA of Fundulus heteroclitus (mummichog), 424 nucleotides long. NCBI's taxonomy places the organism in Eukaryota, Metazoa, Chordata, Actinopteri, Cyprinodontiformes, Fundulidae. The record is from the annotation of a RefSeq genome assembly.